Eurytemora carolleeae is the source of this 66-nucleotide small nucleolar RNA. RefSeq annotates it as small nucleolar RNA SNORD18. The record is from RefSeq and is a predicted model, not a curated record. Lineage: Eukaryota; Metazoa; Arthropoda; Copepoda; Calanoida; Temoridae. The transcript has a single exon.
UUAUAAUGAUGACUGACUUUGGUCCGUGUUUAUGAUCUUAAUGAUUCACCACAAAGUUCUGAUAUA